Molecule: RNA transcript, 1446 nt
Organism: Brassica napus (rape)
Lineage: Eukaryota; Viridiplantae; Streptophyta; Magnoliopsida; Brassicales; Brassicaceae
Exons: 8
Source: RefSeq, a predicted model, not a curated record
UUGGCCUUAGGAUUUGUCCAAAUGGGUUGGUUCUGUUCUUUGUCUCUCUCGAAACCUCUCUAUCUUCGACGAUUUCAUCAUCGUGACGGUUUUGUUCUUUCGAUUAGUCUCCAUCAAGCAAUCCUCUCUCUCUCUCUCUCUCUCUCUCUCUCUCUCACACACAGCAUCGCAGAGGCUACGAACGUUCGUGAGAUUGAGAGCGACAUCGAAAGGCGCAGGGAGAGAGAUUAGACUGUUGUCAUCUUUGAUUAUAUUUCACCCCUUUGAGUCUGCUCUCGAUGCCCUAAACCAAGUUAACGCCGUCUCUGAAGGGGUUAUGACUGCCGAGCUUAGAAGUUUUCUGGAGUUGAAUCUUCCUAAGGUCAAAGAAGGCAAGAAACCCAAGUUCAGCUUAGAAACCUCUGAGCCUAAACACGGUUCCCACAUAUUGGAAGCCACCAAAAUCCCCUGCCAGAGCAAUGAGUUCGUUCUUGAGCUUCUCCGUGGUGUGCGUCUGCAGUUUGACAGCAUGGUGAUCUGGAAAAGUCUUUUUCUUGACCUCUUCUAAAGACAAGGGAGCUGAGUCAGAUGCCGAGUUCUUGAGUCAGAUGAUGAUGCUCAGGAAUGGUUUUGUAAUGGGAAGGACAACAGAUUCGCUUGAUCAUUUCCACAACUUGAGGCUUGAUGUUGAUAGUAUGUCAUACGAGGUUGGUUUAAUUGAAGGGCGAGUUGAUGUCCAUCAUCUGGAUGUUUUGAGAAUUGAUUUCGACGAAGCGAUUUUAUACCAAAGAACAAACCUGAUCAGUGCGAAUCAAGGACGUCGGUGCCCAAAACUCACAGGAGUGGGAGCUUCCACAGUGUUCACAAGAUAUUGUUGGGAGUACUUUAACCUUCCAAUUGAACCUAUCCCACUUCAACUUGACUGCAAAGCAUCAGAGCUUCACUGUUUCCUACAUUUAGGAACCAAUCAGCGUCCACCGCAGUCUAAUUUGGAGGUUCUGGGUGGGAAUAACAAUCUGGGAGAUGAUAUGUAAGGUGCUGGAGCAGUCAAAAAGAGCAACGUUUCUGGAGUUAAAAUAACCUCUGUGGAUUAUGGUACCUGUGUUGGCGAUGAAGCGGUUGAAGGUGGACUAGCUGAUGCAAAUGCUCCAGGUCACAACUCUGUUAAUUGAAGGGAGAAGAGAGGAGUCACCAGUGAAGGAAAAUGGGUGCUCUGGAAAGAAGGCACCAAUUGAUUGACAUCGAAAGAGCAAGAGGAACCAAAGUUACAAGACACGAUGAUUUUUUCGUUGCAUUUCCCGACAUUAUCAUAUCAAGUCCGACUACUUCAAAAAAUUUAUAUCAUUGGUUUCCUUCGGUUUUUAAACUCCACCAUAUCAGACUUUUUCAGUUAUAAAAUAAGGCGUCCUGUUUGGCAAAAAGACAUUUUUCCUAACAAAUCAUAAUCAAAUAUUAACAAUUAGUAGA